GUACUCUCACACUCCCAGUCUUUGGAUUGGGAGGUGGACUUGGGUGUUGCUGCUUUACCGUGGCUCACCUCAAAUGGAUUCGUGCAACUCUUGGUUGGACAUAGUACGGCGUGAUAAGUGUCUUCGCCGGCGCCUCACUUUGAGGGUGGCCGAUCGGGAGCUCUGUGCUUCAAACCGUCUUCGGACAAUGACUGACA
Molecule: unclassified non-coding RNA, 197 nt
Filed under: uncultured Sebacinaceae
Lineage: Eukaryota; Fungi; Basidiomycota; Agaricomycetes; Sebacinales; Sebacinaceae
Description: sequence contains ITS2
Source: RNAcentral